Molecule: long non-coding RNA, 568 nt
Filed under: Fukomys damarensis (Damara mole-rat)
Lineage: Eukaryota; Metazoa; Chordata; Mammalia; Rodentia; Bathyergidae
Description: lncRNA (ENSFDAG00000024478.1)
Source: RNAcentral
GGGGUCAGUUGUGAUGCCAAGUCCUUCACAAGAGUAGGGUCUUGGCAGAACAUUUCAGAAGUGACAGGAAGAACCAAGAAAUGCUUCUAUUUCUCAAUUCUGGGAUUUGCACUAUGAGUAAGAUGAUGGCAAAAAGCAAAGCCAAACAAAAAUGCAACAGAGGGCUUAAUAGCCUGGAGGGAAGCAUGAAAAUCCAGCAAUCAAUAGAGCGGUCACCCCCGCUGGUGGAAAGACAGACAAAAGCCCGGGAAAGCACUGAGAAGAGAUACCAGGGAGAGCUGAACUUCAGCUUCAUUUGUGCUUACACAACGCUUACUAUCUUGGAUAGAUCCAAAACGCAAAUGGAAAGGGGAAUUUCAUCUUCCCUCACCACGCAUGAAAGCAGACACCUCUUUAAAUACAAAAUUGCUUUGGAGUCCUGCUUGCUGGCUGCAGAUGCUGAUUAAGUCUCUAUGGAAACGUUUUUGUUUCAAGCAUAAGAAAAUCUGCGUAUAGUAACUAAUGAACUCUCCCAUGUGGGCAGCUCAAGAUCCCUGUUAUGCUCAGUCUGCAGACCGCCCCGCCCCAG